This 429-nucleotide ribosomal RNA is filed under the name Bacteroidota bacterium. Its description in RNAcentral is "Bacteroidetes bacterium partial 16S ribosomal RNA". It matches the Rfam family "Bacterial small subunit ribosomal RNA", at positions 355 to 776 of the family's 1533-position model. Lineage: Bacteria; Pseudomonadati; Bacteroidota. The record is from RNAcentral.
UAGGGAAUCUUCCGCAAUGGACGCAAGUCUGACGGAGCAACGCCGCGUGAGUGAAGAAGGAUUUCGGUUCGUAAAACUCUGUUGUUAGAGAAGAACAGCGCAUAGAGUAACUGUUAUGCGUGUGACGGUAUCUAACCAGAAAGCCACGGCUAACUACGUGCCAGCAGCCGCGGUAAUACGUAGGUGGCAAGCGUUGUCCGGAUUUAUUGGGCGUAAAGCGAGCGCAGGCGGUCAAUUAAGUCUGAUGUGAAAGCCCCCGGCUCAACCGGGGAGGGUCAUUGGAAACUGGUUGACUUGAGUGCAGAAGAGGGGAGUGGAAUUCCAUGUGUAGCGGUGAAAUGCGUAGAUAUAUGGAGGAACACCAGUGGCGAAGGCGACUCUCUGGGCUGUAACUGACGCUGAGGCUCGAAAGCGUGGGUAGCAAACAGG